This 394-nucleotide ribosomal RNA is filed under the name uncultured bacterium. RNAcentral describes it as "partial 16S ribosomal RNA". It matches the Rfam family "Bacterial small subunit ribosomal RNA", at positions 523 to 918 of the family's 1533-position model. The record is from RNAcentral.
AUACGUAGGGGGCAAGCGUUAUCCGGAUUUACUGGGUGUAAAGGGCGCGUAGGCGGCGCUUCAAGUCGUCUGUCAAAUGGGAGGGCUUAACCCUUUUUCGCAGACGAAACUGGAGAGCUUGAGAAGCAGAGAGGCAAACAGAAUUCCUGGUGUAGCGGUGAAAUGCGUAGAUAUCAGGAAGAAUACCAGUGGCGAAGGCGGUUUGCUGGCUGCAUACUGACGCUGAAGCGCGAAAGCCAGGGGAGCAAACGGGAUUAGAUACCCCGGUAGUCCUGGCAGUAAACGAUGUAUGCUGGGUGUGAGACUAGCGAUAGUUUCGUGCCGAAGUUAACGCGAUAAGCAUACCGCCUGGGGAGUACGGUCGCAAGAUUGAAACUCAAAGGAAUUGACGGGG